Molecule: ribosomal RNA, 560 nt
Filed under: Novosphingobium sp.
Lineage: Bacteria; Pseudomonadati; Pseudomonadota; Alphaproteobacteria; Sphingomonadales; Sphingomonadaceae
Description: bacterial SSU rRNA
Rfam family: Bacterial small subunit ribosomal RNA
Source: RNAcentral
GUGAGGGCGCAUGCUACACAUGCAGUCGAACGAAGGCUUCGGCCUUAGUGGCGCACGGGUGCGUAACGCGUGGGAAUCUGCCCUUUGCUUCGGAAUAACUUCGGGAAACUGAAGCUAAUACCGGAUAAUGUCGCAAGACCAAAGAUUUAUCGGCAAGGGAUGAGCCCGCGUAGGAUUAGGUAGUUGGUGGGGUAAAGGCCUACCAAGCCGACGAUCCUUAGCUGGUCUGAGAGGAUGAUCAGCCACACUGGGACUGAGACACGGCCCAGACUCCUACGGGAGGCAGCAGUGGGGAAUAUUGGACAAUGGGGGCAACCCUGAUCCAGCAAUGCCGCGUGAGUGAUGAAGGCCUUCGGGUCGUAAAGCUCUUUUACCAGGGAUGAUAAUGACAGUACCUGGAGAAUAAGCUCCGGCUAACUCCGUGCCAGCAGCCGCGGUAAUACGGAGGGAGCUAGCGUUGUUCGGAAUUACUGGGCGUAAAGCGCGCGUAGGCGGCUACUCAAGUCAGAGGUGAAAGCCCGGGGCUCAACCCCGGAACUGCCUUUGAAACUAGGUGGCUA